AGCCGCGGUAAUACGUAGGUGGCAAGCGUUGUCCGGAAUUAUUGGGCGUAAAGCGCGCGCAGGCGGGAUAUUAAGUCUGUUUUAAAAGUUCGGGGCUCAACCCCGUGAUGGAAUGGAAACUAAUAUUCUUGAGUGCAGGAGAGGAAAGUGGAAUUCCCAGUGUAGCGGUGAAAUGCGUAGAUAUUGGGAGGAACACCAGUGGCGAAGGCGACUUUCUGGACUGUGUCUGACGCUGAGGCGCGAAAGCCAGGGGAGUGAACGGGAUUAGAUACCCCGGUAAUCCUGGCCGUAAACGAUGGGUACUAGGUGUAGGAGGUAUCGACCCCUUCUGUGCCGGAGUUAACGCAAUAAGUACCCCGCCUGGGGAGUACGGCCGCAAGGUUGAAACUCAAAGGAAUUGACGGGGGCCCGCACAAGCGGUGGAGUAUGUGGUUUAAUUCGACGCAACGCGAAGAACCUUACCAGGACUUGACAUCGAUUGAAAUACCUAGAGAUAGGUACCUUCCCUUCGGGGAACAAGAAGACAAGUGGUGCAUGGCUGUCGUCAGCUCGUGUCGUGAGAUGUUGGGUUAAGUCCCGCAACGAGCGCAACCCUUAUCCUAUGUUGCCAGCGAGUAAAGUCGGGAACUCAUGGGAGACUGCCGCAGACAAUGCGGAGGAAGGCGGGGAUGACGUCAAGUCAUCAUGCCCCUUAUGUCCUGGGCUACACACGUACUACAAUGGGCUUAAAUAGAGGGAAGCGAAGCCGCGAGGUGAAGCGAACNNNNNAAACAAGCUCUCAGUUCGGAUUGCAGGCUGCAACUCGCCUGCAUGAAGUCGGAAUCGCUAGUAAUCGCNNNUCAGCANGCUGCGG
RNAcentral lists this ribosomal RNA (853 nucleotides) under uncultured Veillonellaceae bacterium. Its description in RNAcentral is "bacterial SSU rRNA". It matches the Rfam family "Bacterial small subunit ribosomal RNA", at positions 513 to 1362 of the family's 1533-position model. The record is from RNAcentral. Lineage: Bacteria; Bacillati; Bacillota; Negativicutes; Veillonellales; Veillonellaceae.